UUACAUAGAAAUAAAACACAAUUCAGCUUAAACAUUUUUUAUUGCUUUUAUACUAAUGAGGAAAGGAUGUAAAUGAUGCUUUUAGAUCUCAAACAUAUGUCUAGGCACUUUGAAUAGUCUAUAACAUUACUUAACUUAAUUACUUUAAACAAUUGCCUCCAAAGUACACUGGCGUUCAAAAGUGCAUGGACAUGUUUCAACCGCAUAGAAGUAGCAUCCUAUAGAAGUGGUGUGCGCGUGCCUCCGUGAGGGACAAAACAUACGGAAUGCGAACAUAUUAAAAACACGUUUUAACAUUCCUGACAAUAUACCAAAAACAAUCUACGUAAUUCGGUCGGGUUAUUUGUUGCCCACCAUAGCCCAUACUAACAAAAAGGUGGGGAACAAACAAAAAGUGAGACUGUGACAAGGACAAGCAAUAGUACCGCUUUCGCUACUCCUACUGAAAGUUCUAUAAGUGUAUCUCGUUCGGUCAUUUGGCCCCUCCCCCAUGUCUUCUCUAUAUUAUUGUACCUCUAUGUUCAACCGUAAUAUUAAGGCAUUAUGGUCGACAUCUAUCCAUGCACUUUUGAACGCCACUGUACAUUAAACAUAAUGAUUUAAUGAAGAUUGUUCUUUUGGAUGGACUUUGUACAGUCAACAUCAUACAUUCAAGUAAAUUCUCUGAGAGUUUUAUAAAUAUAGUAAAAUAUUUAAUAUAGUAUGUGCAGAUGUUUAGGUCCUGUCUAUUUUUGAAAAUUAAGGAUGUUAGAGUUAGACCAAAAAGUCUGCAGCGAUUUUGAUAGCCCACGCAGUGCAACUGUUAUUUAUAAGUACGUGAUAAUUUCAUAGAAGUUUGACGUUUAAAAUAACACUUGCACUGCGUGGGCUAUCAAAAUCGCUGCAGACUUUUCUUGGUCUAACUAUCAUGUUUUACGAUUAUUUUACAGGCCAACAUUAUUUUAUAGAUAGGCCAGUCAAAUUAGAUUUUUCCCAGGAUUUAAUUCCCAGCAAGCUGGAAAUCGUUUUAAUAUCUUCAUUUGGUUCUAAAUUAGUGUAAUCCAAGUUUGCUCCAUUCCAAGAGUUGAGGGAAAAAAUUGCUCUUUUUUCAGUUUUUUGCUUGUAGUUCAAAAACGGUACGUCCGACGGAAAAUUUGCUCUAAUCAUGAUAAAAAUUAACAUCUGAGGAUCCGAAAGGUACCUUAUUUCGGUUUUAUUAUAUAUUCAUAGCCAAAGAUUGUAAAAAAUAGCCGCCACUUUGUAUAAAAAUCCGAUUUUUUUUUCACCCGUGUCAGGUCCACAUCAACCUUGCUGGUAGUGACAUUGUAAUUGAUGGUGGGUUUCUUCUACAUCGAGCGGUUUUGUCAAUCCAAGGUCAAAUGUAUCUCCGAAGGCUCCCAAAAUUUAUCCACACUUCCUGGGAUGGAGCAAACUCGGAUUAUACGCAUUUAGGACCAAAUGAAGGUAUUAAAAUGAUUUCUAGCUUGCUGGGAAUUAAUUCCUCAAAACGCUUUUUUUAUCUAGUUUGACCGCGCUACAUGGGAAAAACGAAUGUUCACUGUUUUGUCAAAAAUCGUCGCUAUCAGCGGCAAUUUUUCACAACUAAGAAAGAAAAAUGAAGAUACAACUUUUGCUUGUCUGUACGACCCAAAUACAUAUAUUUAAAUACACGCAAAAUAGUUUUCCAAUUCAUUUGUGUAACGAAAAUAUAAAUAAAUAAGGGUAGCUUUCGUUACACCGUGGAAACAACUGAAAUUAAUACAUGUAUGUCAAGAACCUAUGAUAUAAAAUAAAACGUAGGGUUAAAAUUCAAGCCCAUAACUAUAAUAUUAAGCAAUAAUGUAUUCAGAUAAAAUUACGAGUAUCAAGGAUUAUAAUAACUGAUAUUAAAGAAUCUUCAUUCUAACAACACAUUUUUUGGCUUUUUACUAUUUUUUCAAGUACAGCAUAUUUUCCGUGAAUAAUAUUUUCUUUAUUACAAUAAGCAUUAAGUAUUCCAGUUUAUCUUAAUUUUAGAGUAAUUUGAAUAAUUUAAUGAUAUAUUUACAAAUGAUUAAUA
Molecule: long non-coding RNA, 2038 nt
Organism: Cydia fagiglandana
Lineage: Eukaryota; Metazoa; Arthropoda; Insecta; Lepidoptera; Tortricidae
Exons: 2
Source: RefSeq, a predicted model, not a curated record